This 63-nucleotide transfer RNA is filed under the name Rattus norvegicus (Norway rat). Lineage: Eukaryota; Metazoa; Chordata; Mammalia; Rodentia; Muridae. The record is from Rfam by way of RNAcentral.
UGUGGCUCAGUGGUAGAGCAUUUGCAAAACCUCCGCUUGAGGUCCUGGGUUCAAUUCCCGGCA